This is a long non-coding RNA of Ictidomys tridecemlineatus (thirteen-lined ground squirrel), 1444 nucleotides long. RefSeq lists it as uncharacterized. The record is from RefSeq and is a predicted model, not a curated record. Lineage: Eukaryota; Metazoa; Chordata; Mammalia; Rodentia; Sciuridae.
UCUUCCCACCCUGAUAACUCAGAGUGAAGCCUCUGGCUUGCUGUCCUCACCCUGAUAAGGGGGAAAGGCGAAAAGAUCAGGGUGGGACCACCAGACCAGAUGUUUUAACCCUAGGGUAAACGAUGUCACUAAGAGACCUGUUGGCAGCUGAUAAGGGUUGAAGGUGGGGGGUGGGUGUCAAAAAGCCCCCAAAUUUGGUAUAAAUAGUGGAGCAAAUGAACGGACAUUCAGCCAGCCAAUACUGAUAUCCUCAUGCUGAGAGCCUGAUGAGGACCUGGACUGACAUUGCAACACUUUUCCUCUUUUUGCCUGCUUUCUGCAUUUUCCUCACCGCUCUCAAACUCUACACACGUCUUGACCCUUCUGAAGCCGCAACUUCUCUCUACGACCCUCUCCUCAACUGGCGGUCAGUUCCACCCCUGGAGAAGCCUGCCUUGGCUCCGGACCUGAUCACCGCAGUCUGAUUUUCUUCAGAACCUUUAAAUGAACAACAUAAGAAACCAAACAGAAAGAUACAUUUCUUGGAUCUAGAAAAUGAGGAGGAAGAUGGAGAACAGAAAGGAUUAUAAUUCAAGAUGAAGCAUUCCAUAAGAAAGCACAAAUGAGUCCAGACAGCCACAGGUGGGCCAGAGAAAGAUUCAUGGAAGAGGUGCAUUGAAGGUAAAUACUGAAUGAUGAGAAGAUUUCUGUAGCUUAUGUCGGGCUCUCAAAGGGCUUUACAGAGGGAGAUUAAUAAAAUUAGCCAAACCAAUAAUCCCUGCAGAGGAUUAAGUGUGUUCAAGGUCCUGAGAAUAGCUCAGCUUGCUAUGUAUAGGACAGUAGCAGAGAAACACAAAUGGAAAGGCCAUUUUGUUGAGGAUCUUGAAAGUCAAGGCCAAUGUUCGGAUUGUAUCUGGUAAGCAAGCAGGGUAGGGGAAUGGAGGAAUUCCUGAAUUAGAAAUCAGGAACCAUAAAUCUGAGCAUCAGCUCUGCUCAUUCUCAUGAAGCUUUGAGGAAUGCCCUUAAUCUCUCUGAGCCUUCAUUUGCAACCUAUAAAAUGAGGUUAAUCUCUACGUUACACGCUAUUUUGUGAUUAAGUGAAAUAAAAUGCAAUAUAUGAAAGACCUGGGACAAUAUCAGACACAUAACAUGAAAUCACUAAAGUUUUCUGACUGAAGAUAUUGGAUCAUCCAAAUUCUGGUAACUUAUAAAUCCAAAAGGAAGAGAAUGAGCAGCAGUGAGUGAGAAGAAAUGAGACAUUUUAGGGAAUGGAAAAGAGUAAUUGGAAGGGAGAGAUAACUGAAUUUCUUGGACAGGGUGGGAUGAGAGAGGGAGGUUUCCAGGAGGACAUAUUUUAAGCAGAGAACGGUAUCAUUAGCAGCAUUGUGGAGACUGGACCAGAGAGAAAUCUGAUGAGGAUUUUUGUUUUGUUUUGUUUUGUUUUAAUCUGGUUGAACUGAAGUGG